UUUCUGAAGUCCUUGUGUUUCCUGUUUAAGGCUAUCCAUAACUUCUUUUAAUUUUUCUUCUUCUUGCUCCUUUUCCUUUUCAAGAACUUCUUUCUUAGAUGAUGCUUCACUGAUAGUUGUCACACUGUUGCCAGUUUUGCCUUCUUAUGCUAUGGACAAUGAGGAAAACCUGAGGAAAUGUAAACAUCUAUGAGUCCUGACAUCACGCGGAGACUAUCUACAUCAUCUACCUUCAGGACUGCAAAUAUCACCCUGCUUCAGCGAUGAAGCCCAAUUUGAGAAAGAGGCCUACGACUUUGUAAAUUGCCCAUGAAGUUACGUCCAGGGAACAACUUUUCAGAAGCCAAUCGUCUAGGUUUGGGAACACCAGAAUUUCUUUUCAGUGGAGGUGGGCUGCUAGUACUGACAUGACCUUUGAAAACUCUUGGGGCAGACGACAGCCCAAAAGAGCACCCUGUACUGAAAAUGGUCUUACCCGAUAGGAAGAAAAUAUAGAUGUACAGAUCUCCAGAGAACAAAGUGGCCCUGGAGUCCUUCAAUAUGUGCAGUGAUUCGUCUGUGCUGUCAGUGAAUAGUUUAAGUGCCAUCAAAAGAAAAAGUCUUGAAUUGUAUUCCGGGCCUCCACUGGAAAUACUCAGAGGUGAAACCAGGAGGCCGUCCUCAUAAGUACCACCCUAAAAUCAAAUGAGCAGCAGUAUCAAGAGAGGCCUGCAGAGAUAUUCUGACAAGCACCUGGUCUUCGGCAAUAAUUGACUGGAAUUGCUCUCUGUUUUGCUGGUAGAUGCUAAAUAAAGGAGUUCAUCUUAGUAUAAA
Long non-coding RNA from Dermochelys coriacea (leatherback sea turtle), 813 nucleotides. RefSeq lists it as uncharacterized. Lineage: Eukaryota; Metazoa; Chordata; Testudines; Dermochelyidae. The transcript is spliced from 4 exons. The record is from RefSeq and is a predicted model, not a curated record.